GUCAUAUUCCUCUCUGCAGCCUGCAGAACUUGCCUGGCUGUCUUAGCUUGAUUCUCAAUUGAAGGAUUAGUCUCAAGAAGUCUGCGAGCAAAGUUUGCAGCACUGGCAAGGUUCUUAGCCUUGUAACAGACAGUCAUAGCAUUUAAUAGAGCAAGCCUCAAAUGUGGCAACUGCAGGUUGCAGUGCGUAAAAUAGGCUGCAAGCUCCAUCUGGCGUACUGGAUUGUCCUUGAG
RNAcentral lists this unclassified non-coding RNA (233 nucleotides) under Hevea brasiliensis (rubber tree). Lineage: Eukaryota; Viridiplantae; Streptophyta; Magnoliopsida; Malpighiales; Euphorbiaceae. The record is from RNAcentral.